Molecule: ribosomal RNA, 253 nt
Filed under: uncultured bacterium
Lineage: Bacteria
Description: partial 16S ribosomal RNA
Rfam family: Bacterial small subunit ribosomal RNA
Source: RNAcentral
UACAGAGGGGGCAAGCGUUGUUCGGAAUUACUGGGCGUAAAGGGCGCGUAGGCGGCCUGCUAAGUCGAACGUGAAAUCCCUGGGCUCAACCCAGGAACUGCGUCCGAUACUGGUUGGCUUGAAUCCGGGAGAGGGAUGUGGAAUUCCAGGUGUAGCGGUGAAAUGCGUAGAGAUCGGGAGGAACACCUGUGGCGAAGGCGGCCAACUGGGCCGACCCUGACGCUGAGGCGCGAAGGCGUGGGGAGCGAACGGG